RNAcentral lists this ribosomal RNA (460 nucleotides) under uncultured bacterium. Its description in RNAcentral is "partial 16S ribosomal RNA". It matches the Rfam family "Bacterial small subunit ribosomal RNA", at positions 338 to 795 of the family's 1533-position model. The record is from RNAcentral.
CCUACGGGAGGCAGCAGUGAGGAAUAUUGGGCAAUGGGCGCGAGCCUGAACCAGCCAAGUAGCGUGAAGGAUGACGGCCCUACGGGUUGUAAACUGCUUUUAUAAAGGAAUAAAGUGAGGCACGUGUGCCUUUUUGCAUGUACGUUAUGAAUAAGGAUCGGCUAACUCCGUGCCAGCAGCCGCGGUAAUACGGAGGAUCCGAGCGUUAUCCGGAUUUAUUGGGUUUACAGGGAGCGUAGAUGGGUUGUUAAGUCAGUUGUGAAAGUUUGCGGCUCAACCGUGAAAUUGCAUUUGAUACUGGCAGUCUUGAGUACAGUUGAGGUCGGCGGAAUUCGUGGUGUAGCGGUGAAAUGCUUAGAUAUCACGAAGAACUCCGAUUGCGAAGGCAGCUUACUAAACUGCCACUGACAUUGAUGCUCGAAAGUGUGGGUAUCAAACAGGAUUAGAUACCCUAGUAGUC